UAUUUGUUGAAUGUACGUUAUUGAACAUAGAAGAAAACUCCGAUUUGGACUGUAGGCCAGUAAUAAAACCUGGAUGAAAAGCAGGUGAAUGAGCACAGCCAGGCAAGAGCAGAGCUCAGCUGUCUUUUAAAAAGAAGACAUGUCUUAAGAAGGAGCAAUCUGCAAGCCAGCCAGAAGCAAAGAUGCCAUUGAUUGACCUGUGGAAAGCGCUCCUGUUAAUCCACUGCUAGAUGCAUUCUAAGAAUGGCAACUGCAUUAUUCAGCCAUGGAAGAACUCCACUUGGAGGGAGUCGUGAUAAAUCAGAGCAUCAGCCCUUUCCGCUUGGACACCAAUAAGUCCUGCACUUCAAAAUUGCUGACCUAAAAAGGAUGCUCGAGAAGGAGCAAGUUUUUUUUUUUUUCGUGGUAAAGAAAGCAACACCAGAAGCAGUGUGACUUCCUUGUUCACUUAGAUGCAUGCAAAAAAGAAAAGUUCACUGUCUUUGCUUCAGGACCUUCUUCCUUCCACCCUCACAGCGUGUGCCUGUGGACUGCCUGCUGAGGAACAUCCUACUGAGAAGAACUUCCAGAUCAUUCAGUGAGAUGGUAGCAGAAAGGAACCAAGGUGAAAAGAGAGGGGUGGUGUGGGGAACUUCCCUGGCGAUCCAGUGGUUAAGACUCUUGUUCCACUGCAACAGGUGUGGGUUUGAUCCCUGGUUGACUGAAUGGCAUGGCCAAAAAGCAAAAAUAAAAAAAGAUGA
This is a long non-coding RNA of Dama dama (fallow deer), 740 nucleotides long. RefSeq lists it as uncharacterized. Lineage: Eukaryota; Metazoa; Chordata; Mammalia; Artiodactyla; Cervidae. The transcript is spliced from 4 exons. The record is from RefSeq and is a predicted model, not a curated record.